UGGGGAAUCUUGGACAAUGGGCGAAAGCCUGAUCCAGCCAUGCCGCGUGAGUGACGAAGGUCUUCGGAUUGUAAAGCUCUUUUGGCGGGGACGAUAAUGACGGUACCCGCAGAAUAAGCCCCGGCUAACUUCGUGCCAGCAGCCGCGGUAAUACGAAGGGGGCUAGCGUUGUUCGGAAUUACUGGGCGUAAAGCGCACGUAGGCGGAUUUGUAAGUCAGGGGUGAAAUCCCGGGGCUCAACCUCGGAACUGCCCUUGAUACUGCAAGUCUCGAGUCCGAUAGAGGUGAGUGGAAUUCCUAGUGUAGAGGUGAAAUUCGUAGAUAUUAGGAAGAACACCAGUGGCGAAGGCGGCUCACUGGAUCGGUACUGACGCUGAGGUGCGAAAGCGUGGGGAGCAAACAGGAUUAGAUACCCGGGUAGUCCCUGAGCGGGCUGGCAAGGCGCAU
RNAcentral lists this ribosomal RNA (447 nucleotides) under uncultured bacterium. Its description in RNAcentral is "bacterial SSU rRNA". It matches the Rfam family "Bacterial small subunit ribosomal RNA", at positions 355 to 825 of the family's 1533-position model. The record is from RNAcentral.